Molecule: long non-coding RNA, 502 nt
Organism: Erigeron canadensis
Lineage: Eukaryota; Viridiplantae; Streptophyta; Magnoliopsida; Asterales; Asteraceae
Exons: 3
Source: RefSeq, a predicted model, not a curated record
UCUACAAUCAAAUAUUUUUAAUGAUUAAUGAUAUAUUUUAAAAUUUAAUAUUCCUCAAUAUUAAUCAUACUAAAGUAUCCUUACAUUAUAUAAAUCUCACUUAAAAAUAAGUUAGUUAUUGCCUAUGUGGCAUGCUUUAGAAUGCAAAAAAGCCCAAAUAUGUUUACAUGGUGAGUUAAUCGGAACUCUACGGAUUGGUUAUUUCUAAUUCCCCCACUAGCGGUUAUACCCGAAUUAUCGAUCAAAAAAUAAGCCGCCUUCCUUUCCUUUAUAUGCUCAAUCAGUCUCUCUCUAUAUAUAUAAUCCAUCCAAUACUUCUCUCUCGCUAUUUCUAACAGCAGUUUUUUAAAGAAUCGGUUAUUUACAUCUUGGAAGCAGUUACAAGGGUUUGAUUGAGAUAAUGGCAAGAAAAACUUUGGGAACUUGAUGUCCAGGAAAGAUUCUGAAGAUGAAGAAAAUACUAGCUCCAAGGGAUAGUCUUGGCUUGAAAUAUGAUGGAGGA